UACAGAGGGUGCAAGCGUUGCUCGGAAUCAUUGGGCGUAAAGGGCAGGUAGGUGGUCUGAUUUGUCUGGAGGUGAAAGCCUUGGGCUUAACCCAAGAAGUGCCCCGGAAACGGUCAGACUUUGAGUCUUGGAGAGGGUUGCGGAAUUCCCGGUGUAGCGGUGAAAUGCGUAGAGAUCGGGAGGAACACCAGCGGCGAAGGCGGCAACCUGGACAAGCACUGACACUCAACUGCGAAAGCGUGGGGAGCGAACAGG
RNAcentral lists this ribosomal RNA (255 nucleotides) under uncultured bacterium. RNAcentral describes it as "partial 16S ribosomal RNA". It matches the Rfam family "Bacterial small subunit ribosomal RNA", at positions 524 to 776 of the family's 1533-position model. The record is from RNAcentral.